AAUGGGCGAAAGCCUGACGCAGCGACGCCGCGUGAGGGAUGAAGGCUUUCGGGUCGUAAACCUCUGUCGGGAGGGAAGAACUGGUGGGGUGCUAAUCAGCUCCACUUUGACGGUACCUCCAAAGGAAGCACUGGCUAACUCCGUGCCAGCAGCCGCGGUAAUACGGAGGGUGCAAGCGUUAAUCGGAAUCACUGGGCGUAAAGCGCGCGUAGGCGGCUUGAUAAGUCAGGGGUGAGAUCCCACAGCUCACCUGUGGAACUGCCCUUGAUACUGUCUUGCUUGAGUGUGUGAGAGGAUGGUGGAAUUCCUGGUGUAGGAGUGAAAUCCGUAGAGAUCAGGAGGAAGAUCAGUGGCGAAGGCGACCAUCUGGCACAAUACUGACGCUGAGGUGCGAAAGCGUGGGUAGCAAA
Molecule: ribosomal RNA, 410 nt
Filed under: uncultured bacterium
Lineage: Bacteria
Description: bacterial SSU rRNA
Rfam family: Bacterial small subunit ribosomal RNA
Source: RNAcentral